This 196-nucleotide small nuclear RNA is filed under the name Daucus carota subsp. sativus. RNAcentral describes it as "snRNA U2". It matches the Rfam family "U2 spliceosomal RNA". Rfam says of the family: U2 is a small nuclear RNA (snRNA) component of the spliceosome (involved in pre-mRNA splicing). Complementary binding between U2 snRNA (in an area lying towards the 5' end but 3' to hairpin I) and the branchpoint sequence (BPS) of the intron results the bulging out of an unpaired adenosine, on the BPS, which initiates a nucleophilic attack at the intronic 5' splice site, thus starting the first of two transesterification reactions that mediate splicing. Lineage: Eukaryota; Viridiplantae; Streptophyta; Magnoliopsida; Apiales; Apiaceae. The record is from RNAcentral.
AACUUUCAGCCUUUUGGCUAAGAUCAAGUGUAGUAUCUGUUCUUAUCAGUUUAAUAAUAUCUGAUAUGUGGGCCAAUGGUCCACACGAUAUUAAAUUAAUUUUUUAAGGGGGUAAGGCCCGCCACAAAAGCUUGCUAUUGGGGUCUUCAAGAGUCGCCCAAGUGCUGCACUACUGCUCGGGCCAGGCUCACCCCAC